AUGCAGGCUGAUCAGCGAGGUUGAGUCUGAUGUGACUCUGUCCUUUCCUUUUAUGUCUGCUAGAUGGAUUUGGGGUGGUUUGAGGCCAUGCUGUCUACCUCAUACAGCCCGGUUAUAGAAACCCCGGACAAAA
Molecule: small nucleolar RNA, 133 nt
Organism: Misgurnus anguillicaudatus (oriental weatherfish)
Lineage: Eukaryota; Metazoa; Chordata; Actinopteri; Cypriniformes; Cobitidae
Product: small nucleolar RNA SNORA9
Source: RefSeq, a predicted model, not a curated record